This 467-nucleotide ribosomal RNA is filed under the name uncultured bacterium. RNAcentral's name for it is "partial 16S ribosomal RNA". It matches the Rfam family "Bacterial small subunit ribosomal RNA", at positions 28 to 506 of the family's 1533-position model. The record is from RNAcentral.
GACGAACGCUGGCGGCGUGCUUAACACAUGCAAGUCGAACGGAAAGGCCCUGCUUUUGUGGGGUGCUCGAGUGGCGAACGGGUGAGUAACACGUGAGUAACCUGCCCUUGACUUUGGGAUAACUUCAGGAAACUGGGGCUAAUACCGGAUAGGAGCUCCUGCUGCAUGGUGGGGGUUGGAAAGUUUCGGCGGUUGGGGAUGGACUCGCGGCUUAUCAGCUUGUUGGUGGGGUAGUGGCUUACCAAGGCUUUGACGGGUAGCCGGCCUGGGAGGGUGACCGGCCACAUUGGGACUGGGAUGCGGCCCAGACGCCUACGGGCGGCAGCAGUGGGGAAUAUUGCACAAUGGGCGGAAGCCUGAUGCAGCAACGCCGCGUGCGGGAUGACGGCCUUCGGGUUGUAACCAGCUUUCGCCUGUGACGAAGCGUGAGUGACGGUAAUGGGUAAAGAAGCACCGGCUAACUACGU